GCCGCCGUGGGGUAGCCUGUGGCCUAGCCUGCGGGACUGUGGAUCCCGUGACCCGGGUUCAAAUCCCGGCGGCGGCC
Molecule: transfer RNA, 77 nt
Filed under: bacterium
Lineage: Bacteria
Description: tRNA-His
Rfam family: tRNA
About the family: Transfer RNA (tRNA) molecules are approximately 80 nucleotides in length. Their secondary structure includes four short double-helical elements and three loops (D, anti-codon, and T loops). Further hydrogen bonds mediate the characteristic L-shaped molecular structure. tRNAs have two regions of fundamental functional importance: the anti-codon, which is responsible for specific mRNA codon recognition, and the 3' end, to which the tRNAs corresponding amino acid is attached (by aminoacyl-tRNA synthetases). tRNAs cope with the degeneracy of the genetic code in two manners: having more than one tRNA (with a specific anti-codon) for a particular amino acid; and 'wobble' base-pairing, i.e. permitting non-standard base-pairing at the 3rd anti-codon position.
Source: RNAcentral